AGAUGAUGAAAACGAAACUUCUAGAAGGAAGAAGCUUCACAAAGCUAGUAAAUGACUGGCCAAGACUCGAACUGGCCCACCCAGAGAGCCCGAAUUUGGUUCCCAGAACCUACAAAUUGAAUGGAUCAAAGCACCUGUAAUUCCAGCUUGUGUGGAUCUGACGUCCUUUUGUAGCUUCUUCCUUGGAGAUCUGGAUGCCUGCCUUCAGAAGUAGUUCUCCAAUACAAGAAAUGUGACAGUUAUAGCUCUAAUUUCUAUAAUCACCUUGUUUCAUUUUAAAUAUCUUCAAUAUUUUCAGCCAUUACGGUAGUGAAGUAAUACUAAAACACUUGCAUAUUUGCAUUAAGCACAGGGUGAAAAUCAUUGUAUGGAUUCUGGUGUUCUGCUGAGAUUCCAUGGAACACUGUAAAUCACUGGUACCCUUAGAGCUUUUGUGAUGUGUGCAGCAGAGGCAGGAAAAGUAGCCCAUACCUGUCAUCGAAGUGCCUGGAAAGCUGAGGCAGAGGGAUUGUUGUUAGUAUGAUGAUAUCCUGGGCUACAGAGUGAGACGCUGCUUCAAAAUAAUAAAAAUCAAAUAAUGGAAAU
Molecule: long non-coding RNA, 585 nt
Filed under: Rattus norvegicus (Norway rat)
Lineage: Eukaryota; Metazoa; Chordata; Mammalia; Rodentia; Muridae
Description: long non-coding RNA NONRATT027553
Source: RNAcentral